This 500-nucleotide ribosomal RNA is filed under the name Pentapycnon bouvieri. Its description in RNAcentral is "partial 16S ribosomal RNA". The stretch from base 369 to 500 matches the Rfam family "Bacterial large subunit ribosomal RNA", at positions 2473 to 2603 of the family's 2925-position model. Lineage: Eukaryota; Metazoa; Arthropoda; Pycnogonida; Pantopoda; Pycnogonidae. The record is from RNAcentral.
CAUAGUUUUUUGUUUUUAUAAAAAAUAAUACCUGCUCGGUGAAAAAUUUUAACAGCCGCAGUAAUUUGACUGUGCUAAGGUAGCAUAAUCAUUUGUCUUUUAAUUGAGGACUUGUAUGAAUGGUUUGACGAAAAAAUAAUUGUUUCUUAUAUUAUUAUUGAAUUUUACUUUUAAGUAAAAAGGCUUAAAUUAAUUUAAGGGACGAAAAGACCCUAUUAAGUUUAAUAAAUUUAAUUUUUAUUUUUCGUAAUAAUACUUUUUUUUAUUUGGCUGGGGUGGUAAAAAUAGAAUAUCUUUUUUUAUUUUGUUAAUUUAUUAAUUUAUUUUUUGAUCUUUUGAUUUUAAUUAUUAGAUUAAAUUGCUAUAGGGAUAACAGCAUAAUUUAUUUGGAAAGUUCAAAUUGAUAAAUAAGAUUGUGACCUCGAUGUUGGGUUAAAAUUUUACUUUUUAAUGAAGUAGUUAAAAAAGUAAGUCUGUUCGACUUUUAAAUUUUUACGUGA